RNAcentral lists this ribosomal RNA (305 nucleotides) under uncultured bacterium. RNAcentral describes it as "partial 16S ribosomal RNA". It matches the Rfam family "Bacterial small subunit ribosomal RNA", at positions 505 to 807 of the family's 1533-position model. The record is from RNAcentral.
ACAGCAGUAGCCACGGUAAUACGGAGGGUGCAAGCGUUAAUCGGAAUUACUGGGCGUAAAGCGUGCGUAGGCGGUGAGUUAAGUCUGCUGUGAAAUCCCCGGGCUCAACCUGGGAAUGGCAGUGGAUACUGGCUCGCUAGAGUGUGUCAGAGGAUGGUGGAAUUCCCGGUGUAGCGGUGAAAUGCGUAGAGAUCGGGAGGAACAUCAGUGGCGAAGGCGGCCAUCUGGGACAACACUGACGCUGAGGCACGAAAGCGUGGGGAGCAAACAGGAUUAGAUACCCCGGUAGUCCCUGUCUCUUAUAC